RNAcentral lists this unclassified non-coding RNA (289 nucleotides) under Hevea brasiliensis (rubber tree). Lineage: Eukaryota; Viridiplantae; Streptophyta; Magnoliopsida; Malpighiales; Euphorbiaceae. The record is from RNAcentral.
AAUCCCGCCGCCACCGGCGUCCUCGUCGUCGACGAGGACCCCGUCUGGCAGAAACCCGUCCAGCUCGAUGAAGAAGAAAGCGAUUCCUCAGGUGAAGAGAAACCGCUGAUUGAAGAAGACAUCGAGGUUAAACGCAUGAAGCGGCUCGAAGCACUCCGGUCGCGGAAGCCUUACCACGGCAUCUCGGAGGACGGCAGCGGAUGGGUUUCCAUCCCCAGCUCCGCCACACCGAGAUCAGAUUUAUCGCCUCCACGUCUUCGCCGGGAACGGCUUGACACGCCAUCCCCAG